AAUUCUUGUUUUCAUUUUGCUUCCUUUUCCCUCACUGUUUUUUUUUUUUUAAAUAAAAAACAGCCGUUGCAUUUCAAAAUUAAAAUUCUCUCCCUUUUAAAUAGUGCUAAAGCUUCUUCUGGCCUAAAUUUCCCAUAAAAUAACCGUUGUAUUUUGCUCCCAAAAAAAAAAAAAAAAAAAAAAAAAGCCGUUAGUAUUUCAAAAUUGAAAUUCUCUCCCUUUAUAUAGCCGUUGCAUAAGCUCCUCCCUAAUUUUUCACUCUCUCUUCUUCUACUUCUUCAACCUCUCUCCAUAUCCUCCUCCUCUGGUCCCUUAGAUGUUAGUUAUUCUCGUCUCCUCCGUGUUGAGUGGGAAUACGGAGGCAGCGUCGUAGGUGUUUACUGUUGCAACGUGGAUCGCUAAGAAACAGAGCCUGAGUUUUGAGACGUUGAAUGACGUGGUACGGAAUUUUGUCACAGUGUGGACAGGGUAUUGGAAAGUUAACCUUCAGAAGCCAAAAAAUGUGUUGUUUUAGGCUUGGAUGAAGAUUAAUUUGAAGGAGUAAUGAAGAAAUUGGCAAUGGGUUUUAGGCUUCCCAGUUACUAUCAAAGAAGAGGAACAACCGUUAGUAGAAGAAAUAUCAAGACCAUGCACUUAUGCAGCUUUGGAAAUUAGAAGAAUAUAGAGAGGCUAAACCAAAAUGACGAAUACAAUUGUACAAUAUUUUCCUGUCUCCCUAUUUGAUUUGUUGGAUGUUUGAAUUAAAAGUUGAAUACUAUCACAUUAUCUGUGAGAGAGUUUUUUUAGUGUUUACUAAUUUAUGUUUGUUUGCAAGAUAAAAAUUGUUGAGAUCAAAGCCCAUAUCAGAUGGGCCAAUCUCUAGUCUUUCGUGUGUCCAAGUACAACUUACAGGUUUUUUUUUUUUUUUUUUCCCCUUUUUUUAUUUGGGGCUGAGGGCUCAAAUCGAGUUCACAGACUUGGGUUGGUGGUAUUCUUAUCAUCAGAACUACCAUGCGGCCUCAUACAACUUAGGUGUUGCAUUCGAUAAAUUUCAAUAUGAAUUUUAUUUAAUUUUA
Molecule: long non-coding RNA, 1055 nt
Organism: Ziziphus jujuba (common jujube)
Lineage: Eukaryota; Viridiplantae; Streptophyta; Magnoliopsida; Rosales; Rhamnaceae
Exons: 3
Source: RefSeq, a predicted model, not a curated record